GACGAACGCUGGCGGCGUGCUUAACACAUGCAAGUCGAACGGAAAGGCCCUGCUUUUGUGGGGUGCUCGAGUGGCGAACGGGUGAGUAACACGUGAGUAACCUGCCCUUGACUUUGGGAUAACUUCAGGAAACUGGGGCUAAUACCGGAUAGGAGCUCCUGCUGCAUGGUGGGGGUUGGAAAGUUUCGGCGGUUGGGGAUGGACUCGCGGCUUAUCAACUUGUUGGUGGGGUAGUGGCUUACCAAGGCUUUGACGGGUAGCCGGCCUGAGAGGGUGACCGGCCACAUUGGGACUGAGGUACGGCCCAGCCUCCUACGGGAGGCAGCAGUGGGGAAUAUUGCACAAUGGGCGGAAGCCUGAUGCAGCAACGCCGCGUGCGGGAUGACGGCCUUCGGGUUGUAAACCGCUUUCGCCUGUGACGAAGCGUGAGUGACGGUAAUGGGUAAAGAAGCACCGGCUAACUACGUG
This 468-nucleotide ribosomal RNA is filed under the name uncultured bacterium. RNAcentral's name for it is "partial 16S ribosomal RNA". It matches the Rfam family "Bacterial small subunit ribosomal RNA", at positions 28 to 507 of the family's 1533-position model. The record is from RNAcentral.